This 68-nucleotide transfer RNA is filed under the name marine eukaryotic metagenome. It matches the Rfam family "tRNA". From Rfam's summary of the family: Transfer RNA (tRNA) molecules are approximately 80 nucleotides in length. Their secondary structure includes four short double-helical elements and three loops (D, anti-codon, and T loops). The record is from RNAcentral.
GCAGUAGCUCAAUUUGGUAGAGCACCGGUCUCCAAAACCGAAGGUUGUGGGUUCAAGUCCCUCCUGCC